Molecule: ribosomal RNA, 396 nt
Filed under: uncultured bacterium
Lineage: Bacteria
Description: bacterial SSU rRNA
Rfam family: Bacterial small subunit ribosomal RNA
Source: RNAcentral
UCGGGAAUUUUGGGCAAUGGGCGAAAGCCUGACCCAGCAACGCCGCGUGAGGGAUGAAGUAUUUCGGUAUGUAAACCUCGAAAGAAUGGGAAGAAUAAAUGACGGUACCAUUUAUAAGCUCCGGCUAACUACGUGCCAGCAGCCGCGGUAAUACGUAGGGAGCAAGCGUUGUUCGGAUUUACUGGGCGUAAAGGGCGCGUAGGCGGCGCGGUAAGUCACUUGUGAAAUCUCUGAGCUUAACUCAGAACGGCCAAGUGAUACUGCUGUGCUAGAGUGCGGAAGAGGCAACCGGAAUUCUUGGUGUAGCGGUGAAAUGCGUAGAUAUCAAGAGGAACACCUGAGGCGAAGGCGGGUUGCUGGGCCGACACUGACGCUGAUGCGCGAAAGCCAGGGGAG